GAUGAACGCUGGCGGCGUGCCUAAUACAUGCAAGUCGAGCGAACAGACGAGGAGCUUGCUCCUCUGACGUUAGCGGCGGCCGGAUGAGUAACACGUGGAUAACCUACCUAUAAGACUGGGAUAACUUCGGGACACCGGAGCUAAUACCGGAUAAUAUAUUGAAACGCACGGUUCAAUCGUGAAAGACGGUUUUGCUGUCACUUAUAGAUGGAUCCGCGCCGCAUUAGCUAGUUGGUAAGGUAACGGCUGACCAAGGCGACGAUGCGUAGCCGGCCUGAGAGGGUGAUCGGCCACACUGGAACUGAGACACGGUCCAGACUCCUACGGGAGGCAGCAGUAGGGAAUCUUCCGCAAUGGGCGAAAGCCUGACGGAGCAACGCCGCGUGAGUGAUGAAGGUCUUCGGAUCGUAAAACUCUGUUAUUAGGGAAGAAACAAUGUGUAAGUAACUAUGCAGGUCUUGACGGUACCUAAUCAGAAAGCCACGGCUAACUACGUG
RNAcentral lists this ribosomal RNA (497 nucleotides) under uncultured bacterium. RNAcentral's name for it is "partial 16S ribosomal RNA". It matches the Rfam family "Bacterial small subunit ribosomal RNA", at positions 28 to 507 of the family's 1533-position model. The record is from RNAcentral.